GAAAGGCGUAGUCGAUGGGAAACAGGUUAAUAUUCCUGUACUUGGUGUUACUGCGAAGGGGGGACGGAGAAGGCUAUGUUAGCCGGGCGACGGUUGUCCCGGUUUAAGCAUGUAGGCUGAUUGUCCAGGCAAAUCCGGAUAAUCAAGGCUGAGGUGUGAUGACGAGGCACUACGGUGCUGAAGUAACAAAUGCCCUGCUUCCAGGAAAAGCCUCUAAGCAUCAGGUAACAUUAAAUCGUACCCCAAACCGACACAGGUGGUCAGGUAGAGAAUACCAAGGCGCUUGAGAGAACUCGGGUGAAGGAACUAGGCAAAAUGGUGCCGUAACUUCGGGAGAAGGCACGCUGGUGUGUAGGUGAAGUCCCUGCGGAUGGAGCUGAGACCAGUCGAAGAUACCAGCUGGCUGCAACUGUUUAUUAAAAACACAGCACUGUGCAAACACGAAAGUGGACGUAUACGGUGUGACGCCUGCCCGGUGCCGGAAGGUUAAUUGAUGGGGUUAUCCGUAAGGAGAAGCUCUUGAUCGAAGCCCCGGUAAACGGCGGCCGUAACUAUAACGGUCCUAAGGUAGCGAAAUUCCUUGUCGGGUAAGUUCCGACCUGCACGAAUGGCGUAAUGAUGGCCAGGCUGUCUCCACCCGAGACUCAGUGAAAUUGAACUCGCUGUGAAGAUGCAGUGUACCCGCGGCAAGACGGAAAGACCCCGUGAACCUUUACUAUAGCUUGACACUGAACAUUGAGCCUUGAUGUGUAGGAUAGGUGGGAGGCUUUGAAGCGUGGACGCCAGUCUGCGUGGAGCCAACCUUGAAAUACCACCCUUUAAUGUUUGAUGUUCUAACGUUGGCCCCUUACCGGGGUUGCGGACAGUGUCUGGUGGGUAGUUUGACUGGGGCGGUCUCCUCCCAAAGCGUAACGGAGGAGCACGAAGGUUAGCUAAUCCUGGUCGGACAUCAGGAGGUUAGUGCAAUGGCAUAAGCUAGCUUGACUGCGAGCGUGACGGCGCGAGCAGGUGCGAAAGCAGGUCAUAGUGAUCCGGUGGUUCUGAAUGGAAGGGCCAUCGCUCAACGGAUAAAAGGUACUCCGGGGAUAACAGGCUGAUACCGCCCAAGAGUUCAUAUCGACGGCGGUGUUUGGCACCUCGAUGUCGGCUCAUCACAUCCUGGGGCUGAAGUAGGUCCCAAGGGUAUGGCUGUUCGCCAUUUAAAGUGGUACGCGAGCUGGGUUUAGAACGUCGUGAGACAGUUCGGUCCCUAUCUGCCGUGGGCGCUGGAGAAUUGAGGGGGGCUGCUCCUAGUACGAGAGGACCGGAGUGGACGCAUCACUGGUGUUCGGGUUGUCAUGCCAAUGGCACUGCCCGGUAGCUAAAUGCGGAAGAGAUAAGUGCUGAAAGCAUCUAAGCACGAAACUUGCCCCGAGAUGAGUUCUCCCUGAGACUUUAAGUCUCCUGAAGGAACGUUGAAGACGACGACGUUGAUAGGCCGGGUGUGUAAGCGCAGCGAUGCGUUGAGCUAACCGGUACUAAUGAACCGUGAGGCUUAACCUU
RNAcentral lists this ribosomal RNA (1542 nucleotides) under Klebsiella pneumoniae. RNAcentral describes it as "bacterial LSU rRNA". It matches the Rfam family "Bacterial large subunit ribosomal RNA", at positions 1404 to 2925 of the family's 2925-position model. Lineage: Bacteria; Pseudomonadati; Pseudomonadota; Gammaproteobacteria; Enterobacterales; Enterobacteriaceae. The record is from RNAcentral.